RNAcentral lists this ribosomal RNA (253 nucleotides) under uncultured bacterium. RNAcentral's name for it is "partial 16S ribosomal RNA". It matches the Rfam family "Bacterial small subunit ribosomal RNA", at positions 524 to 776 of the family's 1533-position model. The record is from RNAcentral.
UACGUAGGGUGCAAGCGUUGUCCGGAAUUAUUGGGCGUAAAGAGCUCGUAGGCGGUUCGUCGCGUCGGCUGUGAAAACCCGGAGCUCAACUCCGGGCCUGCAGUCGAUACGGGCGGACUUGAGUGUUGCAGGGGAGACUGGAAUUCCUGGUGUAGCGGUGAAAUGCGCAGAUAUCAGGAGGAACACCGGUGGCGAAGGCGGGUCUCUGGGAAGUAACUGACGCUGAGAAGCGAAAGCGUGGGUAGCGAACAGG